GUCUCCUGUGAAGAGAAAUCUGAAGAUGAAUCUAUAGACCCCCAUGUCUCCUGUGAAGAGAAAUCUGAAGAUGAAUCUAUAGAAAUAAGUGAUGAAUUGAUCAGAUUCGCGAACAGGGUCAUCACUGAUAGCUGGCCACAACUUUCACAGUUUUUAAAUAAGUUCAUUAAAUAUGACUGUGAGAAAUUUCUGAGCAUCUACUUCCCCCUGCUCUCGACCUUAAAGAUACACCAUGUCGACGUUGGCAAAAAGGUAAGUACCCCCUUUUCUUACUCCCUUCAGUAAGAGGCCCACAACAUAUUCUCUAAGGCAUACAUGAAGGAAUAGGGUAUAACUUACCACUAAGAAUGUUUGGUCCGGGUGCAAAUGUCCCAGACCUUCAUCAAAGGGGGG
Long non-coding RNA from Xenopus laevis (African clawed frog), 393 nucleotides. RefSeq lists it as uncharacterized. NCBI's taxonomy places the organism in Eukaryota, Metazoa, Chordata, Amphibia, Anura, Pipidae. The transcript is spliced from 4 exons. The record is from RefSeq and is a predicted model, not a curated record.